This 31-nucleotide small RNA is filed under the name Bombyx mori (domestic silkworm). RNAcentral's name for it is "piRNA piR-bmo-1840649". Lineage: Eukaryota; Metazoa; Arthropoda; Insecta; Lepidoptera; Bombycidae. The record is from RNAcentral.
CAGAUACUUACUGAUGGACUCUAAGUCCAGG